CCAACGGUCCUUUUCAGGGCCACAUUUUGUUGAAAUUGUUUUUUA
Trichinella nelsoni is the source of this 45-nucleotide non-coding RNA. The record is from Rfam. Lineage: Eukaryota; Metazoa; Nematoda; Enoplea; Trichinellida; Trichinellidae.